CUACGCGUGGCCGCCUGCCUAUACAUGCAGUCGAGCGAACAGAUAAGGAGCUUGCUCCUUUGACGUUAGCGGCGGACGGGUGAGUAACACGUGGGUAACCUACCUAUAAGACUGGGAUAACUUCGGGAAACCGGAGCUAAUACCGGAUAACAUUUGGAACCGCAUGGUUCUAAAGUGAAAGAUGGUUUUGCUAUCACUUAUAGAUGGACCCGCGCCGUAUUAGCUAGUUGGUAAGGUAACGGCUUACCAAGGCAACGAUACGUAGCCGACCUGAGAGGGUGAUCGGCCACACUGGAACUGAGACACGGUCCAGACUCCUACGGGAGGCAGCAGUAGGGAAUCUUCCGCAAUGGGCGAAAGCCUGACGGAGCAACGCCGCGCGUGAGUGGAUGAAAGGGUUUCGGGCUCGUAAAACUUCUGUUUAUUAGGGAAGAACAAACGUGUAAGUAACUGUGCACGUCUUGACCGGUACCUAAUCAGAAAGCCACGGGCUAACUACGUGCCAGCAGCCGCGGUAAUACGUAGGUGGCAAGCGUUAUCCGGGAAUUAUUUGGGCGUAAAGCGCGCGUAGGCUGUUUCUUAAGUCUGAUGUGAAAGCCCACGGCUCAACCGUGGAGGGUCAUUGGAAACUGGGAAACUUGAGUGCAGAAGAGGAAAGUGGAAUUCCAUGUGUAGCGGUGAAAUGCGCAGAGAUAUGGUAGGAACACCAGUGGCGAACGCGACUUUCUGGUCUGUAACUGACUCUGAUGUGCGAAAGCGUGGGGAUCAAACAGGAUGAGAUACCCUGGUAGUCCACGACCGUAAACGAUGAGUGCUAAGUGAUUAGGGGGUUUCCGCCCCCUUAGUGCUGCAGCUAACGCAUUAAGCACUCCGCCUGGGGAGUACGACCGCAAGGUUGAAACUCAAAGGAAUUGACGGGGACCCGCACAAGCGGUGGAGCAUGUGGUUUAAUUCGAAGCAACGCGAAGAACCUUACCAAAUCUUGACAUCCUUUGAAAACUCUAGAGAUAGAGCCUUCCCCUUCGGGGGACAAAGUGACAGGUGGUGCAUGGUUGUCGUCAGCUCGUGUCGUGAGAUGUUGGGUUAAGUCCCGCAACGAGCGCAACCCUUAAGCUUAGUUGCCAUCAUUAAGUUGGGCACUCUAGGUUGACUGCCGGUGACAAACCGGAGGAAGGUGGGGAUGACGUCAAAUCAUCAUGCCCCUUAUGAUUUGGGCUACACACGUGCUACAAUGGACAAUACAAAGGGCAGCUAAACCGCGAGGUCAUGCAAAUCCCAUAAAGUUGUUCUCAGUUCGGAUUGUAGUCUGCAACUCGACUACAUGAAGCUGGAAUCGCUAGUAAUCGUAGAUCAGCAUGCUACGGUGAAUACGUUCCCGGGUCUUGUACACACCGCCCGUCACACCACGAGAGUUUGUAACACCCGAAGCCGGUGGAGUAACCAUUUAUGGAGCUAGCCGUCGAAGUGACCGAAAUUG
This 1477-nucleotide ribosomal RNA is filed under the name Staphylococcus saprophyticus. RNAcentral describes it as "bacterial SSU rRNA". It matches the Rfam family "Bacterial small subunit ribosomal RNA". Lineage: Bacteria; Bacillati; Bacillota; Bacilli; Caryophanales; Staphylococcaceae. The record is from RNAcentral.